RNAcentral lists this ribosomal RNA (515 nucleotides) under uncultured glomeraceous AM fungus. RNAcentral's name for it is "SSU rRNA". It matches the Rfam family "Eukaryotic small subunit ribosomal RNA", at positions 569 to 1084 of the family's 1831-position model. Lineage: Eukaryota; Fungi; Glomeromycota; Glomeromycetes; Glomerales; Glomeraceae. The record is from RNAcentral.
AGCAGCCGCGGUAAUUCCAGCUCCAAUAGCGUAUAUUAGAGUUGUUGCAGUUAAAAAGCUCGUAGUUGAAUUUCGGGAUCAAUGUUUCGGUCAUGCCCUUGGUAUGUACUGAUAUUAUUGGUUUCUCACCUUCUAAAGAACCGUAAUGCCAUUAAUUUGGUGUCACGGGGAAUUAGGACUGUUACCUCGAAAAAAUUAGAGUGUUUAAAGCAGGCUCACGCUUGAAUACAUUAGCAUGGAAUAAUGAAAUAGGACAUCCGAUUCUAUUUUGUUGGUUUCUAGGAUCGAUGUAAUGAUUAAUAGGGAUAGUUGGGGGCAUUAGUAUUCAAUUGUCAGAGGUGAAAUUCUUGGAUUUAUUGAAGACUAACUACUGCGAAAGCAUUUGCCAAGGAUGUUUUCAUUAAUCAAGAACGAAAGUUAGGGGAUCGAAGACGAUCAGAUACCGUCGUAGUCUUAACCAUAAACUAUGCCGACUAGGGAUCGGAUGAUGUUAAUUUUUUAAUGACUCAUUCGGC